GCCUACGGGAGGCAGCAGUGGGGAAUCUUGCACAAUGGGGGAAACCCUGAUGCAGCGACGCCGCGUGAACGAUGAAGCCCUUCGGGGUGUAAAGUUCUUUCGGCAGGGACGAUAAUGACGGUACCUGCAGAAGCAGCUGCGGCUAACUACGUGCCAGCAGCCGCGGUAAUACGUAGGCAGCAAGCGUUGUUCGGAAUUACUGGGCGUAAAGAGUGCGUAGGCGGUUGGCUAAGUUUGGUGUGAAAUCUCCCGGCUCAACUGGGAGGGUGCGCCGAAAACUGGCUGGCUAGAGUGCGGGAGAGGAUAGUGGAAUUCCUGGUGUAGCGGUGAAAUGCGUAGAUAUCAGGAGGAACACCUGAGGUGUAGACGGCUAUCUGGACCGUAACUGACGCUGAGGCACGAAAGCGUGGGGAGCAAACAGGAUUAGAUACCCUUGUAGUCC
Molecule: ribosomal RNA, 442 nt
Filed under: uncultured Bryobacterales bacterium
Lineage: Bacteria; Pseudomonadati; Acidobacteriota; Terriglobia; Bryobacterales
Description: bacterial SSU rRNA
Rfam family: Bacterial small subunit ribosomal RNA
Source: RNAcentral